GCAACCUCCUGGAAAUCUGAAUUGACAUUACAAGCAUAGUUCAGAGGUGCCAAGAGUCUAUGCCCCGAGACCAUGCAACUGUGUCCAUUCACUUAAACAAUGAUGUCAAGAAAGCCUGUUUGCGACUCAAACAUCCGCUGCUGUGACA
Molecule: long non-coding RNA, 148 nt
Organism: Spea bombifrons (plains spadefoot toad)
Lineage: Eukaryota; Metazoa; Chordata; Amphibia; Anura; Pelobatidae
Exons: 3
Source: RefSeq, a predicted model, not a curated record